RNAcentral lists this long non-coding RNA (2867 nucleotides) under Phaseolus vulgaris (common bean). RNAcentral's name for it is "long non-coding RNA (PVUL_LNC000645)". Lineage: Eukaryota; Viridiplantae; Streptophyta; Magnoliopsida; Fabales; Fabaceae. The record is from RNAcentral.
UUACUGGAAAAUAAAAUAUUAAAGUAAAAAGGACAAGAUAGAGAAGGAAAUUUUACUUCAUCAUGUAUGUUGUUACAUUCAAAACCAAUUAUAGAUAACAGAUCCCUCUAACAAGUACACGUUGACACUAAUCCUAAAAAACUACUAACAAACAAACAACUCUUUCGAAUUUUGAUUCUCAUGUAAUAGCAUUCAUGGAUAUACACCAACUAGAUUAAAUGACUAGCUUAGAGCAUAAACUAAAUUAACUUCAAAUCCUUUCAAUACUUUUGCAACUUUCCUUGCACAAGCUUCACAGUGCAUAUCAACCUUGAGUACUAUCUCUGCAGGUUCUUCAUCUUUUUUCUCUUCUUCCUUCUUUUACUCCGUGGUUUGUUCUUUCUUUUCUUCUUCCUUGUUCUUAGAACAUAAAUUAAAAAUAGCAAAGAUGUGAGUGAAAAUGGAUUUCCAUAUGGCUAACAUGUCAUGCAUUACAUCAUAAUAAUGCCACCAUCACAUAACAGACACUGUAAAAUAUCACAAAAGUUAGAGAAUAUAAAUGAUUCUAGUCUUAUAGUUAAGUUAGUUUUCAAAACAAAAGUUGUUGAAAAAAAAAAGUGCACAAGAAUUUUUCUGUAAGAGAGAACUCUUCCUUCACCCAUUUGUGUGAUAAUGGACAAUGAUCUCUAAUUCAGAAAUGUUGCAGUCGUGUGUAAUAUAUAUUGGAGGUAGCAAUUGAUGCUUUUCUCUUGUUUUGGUUUUUCUCACUUAUCUUUCCUUGCUUGAACUCUUUGUCUACGCAUCUUACAUAUUCAGCAAAUUCAAAACACGAAUUAAGCAUCAAUGCAAAGAAUAAAAAAAUUGUUUUUACUAUAAUUUUGUCACACAAUUGGCACUCAUUGUUAAUGCAUCAAAAUUAUUUAACAAUCACAAUAUUUGCUCCCGCAACAAUUCAAUUCACUGAAACUAUUGCUUCCAUCACCGUAAUUGUUGUUUCCAAACUCCCCACAAAAUAAAUUGCAAUUAAACAACAAAUGUGAAAAAAUGAAGAAUUACAUUCCAAAUAUGACAAGUGCCAAAUUUUAGUAAUAUUUCAUAUUGAAAUAUAGGCACUUAUGGGUAUUAAUUGCUAAAAUAAGUAUAAAAUAAUUCCUAAUUUAUGAAAUUAUAUAUUUUUACAUGUUUUAUUAAAUGAGAACGAUUUAUUUCCAAAUUCGUGUUAAUUUCAGGUGUCUAGGAAAGUAUGGAGAGAAUUGGACAAAAGGAAAAUAUACAAAACUAAACAGAGAAAGCUGAAAUGCAUCAACACUCACCAAGCUGCCCAAACUCACAAAAAAGCUAAGAUGCCACCAGUGGAUCUUGCUCAAGCGAGCUCAAUCUCGCUUGAGCGAGAUAGUGCCAGAAAAGUUGGGCCUUUUUACUUUUUACUCGCCAAGCAAACCCAUUAGCGCCCAAGCGAGAAGUCACUUCUUAAGUCAAUGAAAAUUAGGUUAAAUAGGGGGCUUGAGGCACAUCCUUAGGGUGCAAGAUUGAGAGGAAAACAUCAUUGAGUGACCUGAGACCCAAUUGGGAGAAUAGAAGAUAUUAGAAGAUGUGUGGUCAAUUCUACCAUUUGAGAUUGAGAGUAAUCUGUUCAAAUUUUUAUUAUUUAGUUGAUAUUUAAACAUAAUAUUAUGUUCUUUAUUGAUAAUUGAUAUUAUUGUUUUGUAUAAUUUUUUUAUGAUUCUAACCUAAAUAAUAAUAAUAAUACUUAACAUAUUUAAGUGGUAAGAAUAGACUUGAAAUGUUAAUUGUUAUUGAUAUCGAUUCUAAGUUGUUUUUUUAAAUAUGUGAGGAAUCAAUAUAAAAAAUCAAUAUCAAUGAUUUUUAUACGAACAUUAAUAUGAAAUCCAGUCCCUAUUUUUCUAAUUAAAACAACAAUUUUUUACCUUGUUGACAAUGAUUAACAAAUUCCAACAAUUUUUUAUUAUUUUGUUUUAUUUCAAACAAAUAUUUUAUUUAAAUAUUUAACAGUUUUUGGUGAAUUCGAUAUUUAUCCUUAAAAAAGACAUUAUUACUUUUAUACACUUAUCGUAAAAAGUCAUCAAAAUACACAAAUAAUCACACUCAUCUUGAACACUUCCACUGAAUCACCAACGAUUCACUCAAAAUUUUCCAAAAAUCACCAAAAUUAAUUUGCAGUGACUUACCGCUUCAAAUGAAGAAGAAUUGAAGAUACUUUGUGAUUUUUUUUUAGAUCAAUCUAUGCUUCAAUUCACAGAAAAUCUUCAAUUUACAACACCGAAUGGAUCAAAAGUCACUGUUUCACCAAUUUGAUUUUCAAAUUCUCCUUCCGAAACAUGUCAACGAUUUGCUGAAUCACCUAAUGAUUUUUUCUCUCUACGGUUCCAAUCUCCUCACCGCAAUCGCUCAACACAGUUCUUCGUUUAAAGCAACAAGUUCAAAGAUGAAUUUUCCAGUGAGAAGAAAAAAAACAACAAACAGAACACAGAAAACGAAUUUUUAGAAUCGGAAAUGAAAACGAAAGAAGGAACUUACAUGAAUCAAUUCAUACGAAACACUACAGUUCUUCUUUGGUUUGUGUUCGCUCAAUCUCAAAUUUACCAACAAAUCGCUUCAAAUUCAGUUCCAAUUUCAAAACCUAAAUACAAGGCACUAUUAUGGUGGUCUUCUUCGUUAACUGGUUUCGCCGAAGUAUUGCAACUCCUCCGUUAGCAAUUCUUCCAACACCGUACUGUUUUCCGCUAACGUUUUCAAAAUCACUCCAAGAAAAAUGAAUAACAGAGAUCCAAUUGAUUCAUUUGUAAAAAAAAUUCAAAACAGAAUGACAUUGCUCUUUACACCACAGAAAUCAUUUUCCACAACAGUUUUCAGGAUUUUGCAAAAAC